RNAcentral lists this ribosomal RNA (198 nucleotides) under uncultured bacterium. Its description in RNAcentral is "partial 16S ribosomal RNA". It matches the Rfam family "Bacterial small subunit ribosomal RNA", at positions 1303 to 1500 of the family's 1533-position model. The record is from RNAcentral.
GUCUGCAACUCGACUACAUGAAGCUGGAAUCGCUAGUAAUCGCGGAUCAGAAUGCCGCGGUGAAUACGUUCCCGGGUCUUGUACACACCGCCCGUCACACCAUGGGAGUCGGAAAUGCCCGAAGUCUGUGACCCAACCUUAGGGAGGGAGCAGCCGAAGGCAGGUCGGAUGACUGGGGUGAAGUCGUAACAAGGUACC